This 239-nucleotide ribosomal RNA is filed under the name Suillus pungens. RNAcentral describes it as "partial large subunit ribosomal RNA". It matches the Rfam family "Bacterial large subunit ribosomal RNA", at positions 1760 to 2003 of the family's 2925-position model. The record is from RNAcentral. Lineage: Eukaryota; Fungi; Basidiomycota; Agaricomycetes; Boletales; Suillaceae.
AUUAAUCUCUUUUGUGGUGGCACAAAAUCGGAAGCCCCGACUGUUUACUAAAAACACAGCUAUCUGCAACGAUGUAAAUCAUAGUAUAGGUAGUGAGGUUUGCCCGAUGCCAUUAAUAUAAGAGAAGUGAUGGGUAACUGUUAAUUAUCGAAAAUCUGGUUAAUAGCGGUCUUAACUAUGAGGAUCCUAAGGUAGCAAAAUAAAUUGGCCAUUAAAUGUGGUCCGGUAUCAAUAAUUUA